CGGAGGAAAAGAAACCAACAGGGAUUGCCUCAGUAACGGCGAGUGAAGCGGCAAAAGCUCAAAUUUUAAAGCUGGCACCUCCGGUGUCCGCGUUGUAAUUUUGUGAGGCAUCUCCGGGUAGGGCGCCGGCCUAAGUUCCUUGGAACAGGACGUCAUAGAGGGUGAGAAUCCCGUGCUUGGCUGGCUGUCCCCGUCCAUGUGAGGUGUCUUCGACGAGUCGAGUUGUUUGGGAAUGCAGCUCAAAAUGGGUGGUAAAUUUCAUCUAAAGCUAAAUAUUGGUGGGAGACCGAUAGCGCACAAGUAGAGUGAUCGAAAGAUGAAAAGCACUUUGAAAAUAGAGUUAAAAAGUACGUGAAAUUGUUGAAAGGGAAGCGCUUGAGACCAGACUUCGGUGGGGAGUGAUCAGCUGUCCUUCUUGGGCGGUGCACUUGCUCCCCUCCGGGCCAGCAUCGGUUGGGACGGCGGGAUAAAGGUCCUGGGAAUGUGGCUCCUUUCGGGGAGUGUUAUAGCCCGGGAUGAAAUGCCGCCAGCUCCGACCGAGGACCGCGCCUUCGGGCUAGGAUGCUUGGCAUAAUGGUCUUCAGCGACCCG
This 591-nucleotide ribosomal RNA is filed under the name Morchella ulmaria. RNAcentral's name for it is "partial 28S ribosomal RNA". It matches the Rfam family "Eukaryotic large subunit ribosomal RNA", at positions 51 to 651 of the family's 3401-position model. Lineage: Eukaryota; Fungi; Ascomycota; Pezizomycetes; Pezizales; Morchellaceae. The record is from RNAcentral.